Musa acuminata AAA Group (dessert banana) is the source of this 955-nucleotide long non-coding RNA. RefSeq lists it as uncharacterized. The transcript has 2 exons. The record is from RefSeq and is a predicted model, not a curated record. Lineage: Eukaryota; Viridiplantae; Streptophyta; Magnoliopsida; Zingiberales; Musaceae.
CCCUUGUCAUCUAUGCCUCCGCACAUGGGCUAGCUCCAUCAAUUAUCCUCUCCUUUGGCGGCCUAUAUCUUUAGGCAUGGGUUAGCAACGUUAAUUGCUCUCUUUCUUGGCUACUUGUACCUUAGCUCACAAGCUAGCAUUGUUGGCCACACCUUUCCAAAUUCACCUAUGCUAACCACAACGAGGGCCGAUGAGUGGGUGAAAGACUAUACUUAAACAAAAACAGAAUCUACUUGAUUAAAACAUAUCUUUAAUAAUAGUAAUAAUAAUAUUAAUGUGAGCGUGAGUUAUCUCUCUAGGCAUUAAAAACAAAAAAAACAUGCAACACAGAGCAAAACAAGCUCAAGUUUGUGGACAGCAAAUUGCUAUCUCCGGGUCUAAAGCCUAGUCAUUCUUGCAUCUCUCUUGGACGAGCUUGUUUUGCGCAGCGAAGGCUUCAUUCCUUCAGCCAAGCAGGAAGAGAUAAAGGUCUUCUCUGUGCCUAUAAAUUGUGCUAAUCUUGGGGUUUGGCACCAUCGCAGAGCUGCAGUUCAUCUCCUUGAGAUAAAAAGAUGGCAGAUCAAGCGGACGUGAAUGGACGUGUUGAGGAGCCAGAAAAGAAAGAGAAGGACAAGAAGAAGAAGGAUAAAGAAAAGAGUGCUGAUUCCAAGGAAAAGACACAAGAUCCAGCCAAGCUGAGGAUGAAGCUAGAGAAGCUAGAUGCCAAGAUUGAUGCCUUGAAAGCCAAGAAGGAAGAGAUCAUAAAGCAGCUAUUUGAGCUUGAGGGAGCUGCCAAUAACUAGCAUGCAAGAACAGUGCAUGUCCCACCAUGUUGAGGAUGGUGGACGGAUGUGCAAUGUCAACUUUCUAUCUAAUUGUUUGUGUUGCGUUUCUUUUGUUCUUUGCUUGUGUUGAAACUUCUUUCAAGUGUAAAAAGCCUCCCACAAAUGGAAUAGGCAAUUUUUGGGAACAGGAA